GAAAACUUUCACACCAUAAAUCUCUCAGUCUUUCCCCAGCCACCAGCUGAGAGAGUGAAUAUAAUAUCUCCUGAUCAUUGUGUUAACACUGAUAAUAGUAACAUAUCAUAUCUCCAUAAUGUCCCUGUUAUUAUUGUAUCAUUCCAUAUGAAAUAAAAGCAACAAUAUAUAACAUACCUUUGUGUGAUGUAAAUGCCUUCAGUAAUUGAAAAACAUGUAUAAACGACAGUAAAUCUGUUCCGUAGACAUUGGGCACCCAGCAAUGAGUGCAAAUUCUCCCUUAGAAUCAGGCACUAGUGUCUAACAAAGAGAAAGCUGAAUAACUGUGUUUGUUUAGGAAAUUAUGGUUAUAUUUACUAAAUACAGAGUAGAUUUGGGGGCAGAUUUAUUGAUGUUCGAAUGGUAAAUUUGAAAUUUAAUUUUCAAGUUGAAUUUUUGGUCAAAACUCAAAAAUUCGAAUUAGGAAAAAUCCAAACUCGAAUUCAAAUUCAACAUUUAUCAUACCUCUACCCUGAAAGUAACUCAAAUUUGAUCACCACCUAAAACCUACCGAAUUCAUGUAGAAGUCAAUGGCAGAGGUCCAUUGACCCACUUGGAGAUGUUGAUGUUUCGGAAAAAAAACCUCAAUUUGAAUGCCUUUGAUCUGCGGUCAAAUUCGAUUUGGGUUUUCGGGUCGGUAAUAUUCGUUUGAAUUUUGUUAAAUAAGAUACCUAGUUUCUAGGUUAAUCUAGUUCAUUCAAGGUAAAAAAAAUCUCUCUAUCACUGGACCUUUGAUAAAUCUGCCCCUUAAUGUAUCAAGGUUCAAAAGGUUUUCAUUAAGGAAAGGUAUUAUGUUUUCCCACUUUCCCAAAGAGUUUAUAUUUGUUUCACAUUUAGCUAAUCUCAUUCAUGGUGGUGUGUAUUUCUGGCAUCAGUUUUAUUUACGUCAGCCUUUGUAUCAGCUGCUACAACUGUCAUUGACCAGAAACUUGCAAACUCACUUGAUCAGUUUGGAUAAUGGAUAAAAUGCAUGCAGUGCUUGAUAACUCAAUGCAACAGACAAAAAAUGGUAAAUCCAGAUAAUUUUUUAAUGACAUUUUGUGACUUAUUGGUGGAGUCUUGGAAAAUAAAUGGUACAAAACUAAAACUUGGAAAUUUUGUUCUGACUAUUCUUUGGGGGUAACAAUCAAAUGUAAUUUACACUUUCUGAAAAAAAGUCUUCCCCUUACUACUGUAGAGGACACCAGGGUUGGCUCCUUGACGGGAGGUAUAUUUCUCCAUUAUUUGGGCUGUGGUCCCUUUAAGCAGCGUGUGUUUCAGGGAAGGAGUCUGGGAGUUAUUUGGCAGCAACACCAGUUGCUGUUUUUUUCUUAGUUUUUCAGGGACCAGACUCUGGAAUGGGAGGGAAGGUACAGGGUGGGCCUUCCCAUUCCACCCAGGUACACACCUGACUUUUACUCUGCAUAAAGAGGAGUCACAGGUGCAAUUGAGUGUAGAGAAUGGUGUCUGGAGCCUGUGAGCUGGAAGUCUUUCUACAGGCUCAAGGAAAGGACUAAAACAGAUAUCCUUGUGUGCAAAGGACUAUGGAAGAAAGUCUGCUAAUAUUGAACAUUUGCUGGUUUUGUUGUUUGGCCUCAAGUGGACUGACCAGGCCUACUUUGGACACUGUAAAACCAAAGGACUUUCACAAGCUGAAGCUUAGAAUUGUAACUGCCAUCUGGUUGCUAUUCGUUACCCUAACAUCCAGCAGUUUGGAAGCCAGAAUUGAAGAAGAGAAUAAGUGAUAAAACAAAAGCAAGAAUAACAAUAAAAUCAAAGCUUCACAGUCUGUUUUUUGGUUGCCAGGGUCAGUGACCCUAACAACCAAGCGGCAUUUUCAGUUACCCUUCAGAAAGAGGCAGAAUAACAAGGCUGAUAGUUUGAAACCUCUAAAAAUAAAAAAAAUUAUGACCAGCUGAAAAGUUAUGUAGACUAGGUUCAUACCGGCACGUGGUGAAUAGAUGGUCAAAAAAAUACACAACGUAGUGCCACAACAAUAUAAUAAUAAUAAUACAAUAAUAUAAUUCACACUAAGGUAAAAAUAUCACAUUAGUUUUGUCAAUGUGGUUUAACAAAUGCAUUAUUGUUAAGUGAAGAAUUGUUAUUGCUAAGUUGUUGCUAAGUGAACAAUUGUCACAAUACCUCACCAUGAUUGCAUGCAAUGUGUAAGUGUGGGGAAGCACAACAUUGUAGCAUAUUUCUCCUCGGAUUCUCCUGAGUUGCAGAACUGGACUGUGAGAGAUUUAAGCUCUCCUCAGGCAUGGGGCUAUACAUAAAAAGUGAAUAUUUUUCCAUUGCGUUACUUACCUGAAAUCCGAUUGGUUCAUUUUUGAACCGUUGUCUCCUGAUUGAUUGAUUUAAAAAGGGGGCGUGGCUUAUCAAAAAGGCGCAAAAUAUAUACGGGUGGCCUUGCAAUGCAGGGCUCAUUGUUGAAAGAGGAUUGGCUUUGAGAUCCCUUCCACCCACC
Molecule: long non-coding RNA, 2485 nt
Organism: Xenopus laevis (African clawed frog)
Lineage: Eukaryota; Metazoa; Chordata; Amphibia; Anura; Pipidae
Exons: 2
Source: RefSeq, a predicted model, not a curated record